CGAACGCUGGCGGCGUGCUUAACACAUGCAAGUCGCACGGCAAGGCCCUGCUUUUGUGGGGUGCUCGAGUGGCGAACGGGUGAGUAACACGUGAGUAACCUGCCCUUGACUUUGGGAUAACUUCAGGAAACUGGGGCUAAUACCGGAUAGGAGCUCCUGCUGCAUGGUGGGGGUUGGAAAGUUUCGGCGGUUGGGGAUGGACUCGCGGCUUAUCAGCUUGUUGGUGGGGUAGUGGCUUACCAAGGCUUUGACGGGUAGCCGGCCUGAGAGGGUGACCGGCCACAUUGGGACUGAGAUACGGCCCAGACUCCUACGGGAGGCAGCAGUGGAGAAUAUUGCACAAUGGGCGGAAGCCUGAUGCAGCAACGCCGCGUGCGGGAUGACGGCCUUCGGGUUGUAAACCGCUUUCGCCUGUGACGAAGCGUGAGUGACGGUAAUGGGUAAAGAAGCACCGGCUAACUACGUG
This 466-nucleotide ribosomal RNA is filed under the name uncultured bacterium. RNAcentral's name for it is "partial 16S ribosomal RNA". It matches the Rfam family "Bacterial small subunit ribosomal RNA", at positions 30 to 507 of the family's 1533-position model. The record is from RNAcentral.